This 433-nucleotide ribosomal RNA is filed under the name uncultured bacterium. Its description in RNAcentral is "partial 16S ribosomal RNA". It matches the Rfam family "Bacterial small subunit ribosomal RNA", at positions 29 to 507 of the family's 1533-position model. The record is from RNAcentral.
AACGAACGCUGGCGGCAUGCCUAACACAUGCAAGUCGAACGAAACCUUCGGGUCUUGUGGCGCACGGGUGCGUAACGCGUGGGAACCUGCCCUUAGGUUCGGAAUAACUCCCCGAAAGGGGUGCUAAUACCGGAUAAUGUCUUCGGACCAAAGAUUUAUCGCCUUUGGAUGGGCCCGCGUUGGAUUAGCUCGUUGGUAGGGUAAAAGCCUACCAAGGCGACGAUCCAUAGCUGGUCUGAGAGGAUGAUCAGCCACACUGGGACUGAGACACGGCCCAGACUCCUACGGGAGGCAGCAGUGGGGAAUAUUGGACAAUGGGCGAAAGCCUGAUCCAGCAAUGCCGCGUGAGUGAUGAAGGCCUUAGGGUUGUAAAGCUCUUUUACCCGGGAUGAUAAUGACAGUACCGGGAGAAUAAGCUCCGGCUAACUCCGUG